RNAcentral lists this ribosomal RNA (488 nucleotides) under uncultured bacterium. RNAcentral describes it as "partial 16S ribosomal RNA". It matches the Rfam family "Bacterial small subunit ribosomal RNA", at positions 30 to 507 of the family's 1533-position model. The record is from RNAcentral.
AUUGAACGCUGGCGGCAUGCUUUACACAUGCAAGUCGAACGGCAGCACAGGGAGCUUGCUCCUGGGUGGCGAGUGGCGAACGGGUGAGUAAUGUAUCGGAACGUGCCUGGUAGUGGGGGAUAACUACUCGAAAGAGUGGCUAAUACCGCAUGAGAUCUUUGGAUGAAAGCGGGGGACCUUCGGGCCUCGUGCUACUGGAGCGGCCGAUAUCAGAUUAGGUUGUUGGUGGGGUAAAGGCCUACCAAGCCUGCGAUCUGUAGCUGGUCUGAGAGGACGACCAGCCACACUGGGACUGAGACACGGCCCAGACUCCUACGGGAGGCAGCAGUGGGGAAUUUUGGACAAUGGGCGCAAGCCUGAUCCAGCAAUGCCGCGUGCAGGACGAAGGCCUUCGGGUUGAAAACUGCUUUUGUACAGAACGAAAAGUCUCUGGCUAAUAUCUAGAGAUCAUGACGGUACUGUAAGAAUAAGCACCGGCUAACUACGUG